Molecule: long non-coding RNA, 1407 nt
Organism: Carya illinoinensis
Lineage: Eukaryota; Viridiplantae; Streptophyta; Magnoliopsida; Fagales; Juglandaceae
Exons: 3
Source: RefSeq, a predicted model, not a curated record
AAACUGUAGCAUAGCAGCAAACUCUUUCUGCAAUGCGUUUUCUCCUCUAAAUUUAUGCAAUUGAUUCCUUCCUACUAGUUUCUGUUUGGUAGACUCUCUAGCUUGUUUAUCUCCAUUUUAUCACUUCUAAAUCCUUGCUUGUGUAAUUAGGAAUGUAUUAGAAAGAGGGAAGGUUUGAAAACAAGAAAAUACACAAGCUCUUGGCUGUCCUUCCAGUGCAGAAAAAAUUCAGCAACUUCAACCCUUGAUUCCUAUUAAGUUUCAGCACCUUAGUUUGCUUUUAUUUCAUCUCUUCAACUCAGCCUCAAUAUGUGACAUUAGGACAACCAAAUGACCUUAAAAUCUCAGACCAAAACCAGCUCUUAAGUAGCUGAAACUAAGGGGAACAGCAACACACACAACAACAGCAGAAAGUUGUAAGAGACAGCAGCAGUAACAGUCUCAUUUUGUUUUCCCUCUCCUUCUCACAUGUAAUCUCUUCUUACUCCAAGGACCCUCAUCUAUACAAUAUAUUCUAGUCCAGUGGAUGAAAUAUUCGAGCUCAGAAUGAAGCAAAACAGAAAACAAAAACAUCCUAUUUGCUGCAGCAGUUUUCAUAUUUGAAUCCCUCAUUGUUUACUGUAAUUUCUAAUCCUCUUAACUCAAGCCUCCUCACCUCUAACUUCAUUUGGUUGAGUAGUAGAAAGUAUGGUGGAGGAAAUGAUAAUUUGGAGCAAGAAAACAUCUAUGAAUUGAAGUUUGGAAAUGAAUCAAAGUUGCGGAAGGAAUCAAAGAAGGGAAAGAAUUGUGACCAUAACAAACUUCAACGAUUUAUCGUGGCUUUCAGGUGAAGAGAUUGAAGGACAUGAUUGCAUCUGGCUAGUUGUUUGUGGGGAUUUUUCUUUCAGUUCACUUCUAUGAGAUCUAGUGGGGUAGGAAAUUUCCUUUAUGACGAGCAUUUCUUUUAAUUUUGGCUUUGGAUUGCUAGCCGGGGAAAAGUAAAGUUGUUGCUUUUAAUAACUAUAAUGUAGCUUUUUUGUUUGCUACUUUACUUGUUUUUUGGCAGUCUGGAUAGACCAAAAAGAUUCAUUUUGGUGUUGUAGGGGUUGCAGUUUUUCAGGAUCAAGAUAUUGGUUUUUUUCGAGUUUUGUGAUCGUAAAGUUUGGAUCACUUAUGGCGUAGGUUGUUUACAUGUAAAGUUGUGGUUUGCUUGGUUUUGGUUUAUAAAUAGGCAUGUUUAGAUUGGUUUUAUUGAUUUAUUGAUUUAGUUUAAUGUAUAGGUUGUUUUUAUUUUACUGGAUUUUGAUGCUUGGGAUGGUUUUUCUUGAAUAUUUGUAAAUCCCAUGUGUCCUGCUUGUUAUCACGGUAUUCCUCCGCCAUAAGUGAGGACAAUCAAUAAAAUUGGGGUACCGUCCUCUUCUUAAAAAA